RNAcentral lists this ribosomal RNA (253 nucleotides) under uncultured bacterium. RNAcentral describes it as "partial 16S ribosomal RNA". It matches the Rfam family "Bacterial small subunit ribosomal RNA", at positions 524 to 776 of the family's 1533-position model. The record is from RNAcentral.
GACGAACCGUCCAAACGUUAUUCGGAAUCACUGGGCUUACAGAGUUCGUAGGCGGUCUGGAAAGUUGGGUGUGAAAUCCCUCGGCUCAACCGAGGAACUGCGCUCAAAACUGCCAGACUCGAGGGAGAUAGAGGAAAGCGGAACUGAUGGUGGAGCGGUGAAAUGCGUUGAUAUCAUCAGGAACACCGGUGGCGAAGGCGGCGUUCUGGACUGCAACUGACACUGAGGAACGAAAGCCAGGGGAGCAAACGGG